UGGGAAGCUAAUGUACAGAUUGGGCUGAAAUACAGCUCUAAUUGUCACCAUACUUCCCUAAACUAUCUUUUGAUGACCAGGAUGAAUUGAGUGAAACCAUAAUGGACAGACUCAGGGCAGACAAUU
Molecule: non-coding RNA, 126 nt
Organism: Jaculus jaculus (lesser Egyptian jerboa)
Lineage: Eukaryota; Metazoa; Chordata; Mammalia; Rodentia; Dipodidae
Source: Ensembl